AUCCAAAAUUAAAGAUUCAGCUCUCUCAAAUUCGCCCCUCUAAAAAUUGGCUCUGUGAAAACUCUCUCGUCCAAAUUGGCCCCUCUCUCAAAAUCGUCUCUCUGAAAGCUCUCUCAAAUCCUAAAUAAUCCGCUAGUUCUUCCAUUCCAUAAUUCAUGUUUGUCUACAUGAUCUUGGAUAUUGUGGACUAAUGUCUACGGUUUUAGAAGGCUUUUUAAAGUUUUUAAUGCUCGUCUGUGGGUGAUAGAGGGGCAUAAUUUUCCAACAGUGUGUUUGGAGAACCCGAGCUGCUUUCUAGCAAGGCAGUGUCACCUUUCCCUUCAUAAUUACCUUGACAUUUGGUGAUAUCUUUUAAUUGAUGCAAAGGAAUACAUUUGGUCGAUAGCUUUUAAUUGAUGUAGAGGGAAAGACAAGGGAUAUAUAAUAUUCAGGAAUGAAGUCCCAAUUUGAUGCAUUACUUGCAUGGGGAGGAGGAAUUCCCCCUUGUCUUGGUGAUGCAGUUCGCCCUCCUCGACUCUCUCAGUCUCUACCUAUUUCAUAUCAAGUAUAUGGUUAAUACAGAGAUGUGACUCAGGAGCCCAGCAAUGAUGAAGAUGAUGAGGAUUAUUAUGUUGAUAAUUUACCAUCGCAUUGUUAAUAUUGAGUUUUGUGUUAGAUAAUCUAAACUAUUUACUUUAUGGUGGUUUAUUUAAAUUAUUAAGUAUUUUUUAAUGCAUGAGAGCUUUGAAGUAGUCUAAUCAAUAGUACUAUUGUAUAAAUAACUUUACUACUAUGUUUCUUCAUUCAAUUUCAAGGUACUUUAAGUUGGUUUUCA
This is a long non-coding RNA of Capsicum annuum, 814 nucleotides long. RefSeq lists it as uncharacterized. NCBI's taxonomy places the organism in Eukaryota, Viridiplantae, Streptophyta, Magnoliopsida, Solanales, Solanaceae. The record is from RefSeq and is a predicted model, not a curated record. The transcript is spliced from 2 exons.